ACUUUUCGGUUUGUCACAUACUAUGAUUGCCAAUCAGGUAUUUUCCAAGCAACCUCGAGAAUAAUUUUAGUAUGCUGGAGUGGGGGAGCGCACUGCCUUGACAAUUUGAAGCUCCUCUGUUUUGAAUUCCAGAAUCCAUCUUUGCGAGGAACAUCAACCUUUACGAAGGACGUCUGAACGUGAAGAAAUCUGAAGCAGUUGAAGUGCAGUUACAAACGAAUACGAUCUGAAAACGGCGUUAGAGAGUCAUCUCUUCAAACACAGCACCAUGGUACGAUUGUUCCCAGCUGAGACGCCCGAAAGCUGUAUAAAUCACCUGCACCGUGAGGUUCACCUGCACCGUGAAGUUCACCUGUUGUUCAUCAUAUAAAAACUCGAUGCACGUCUGUGGAUUAAAUGUGAAUUCAGAGAGUAUCUAACAGGUCUUGACAUUGAAUUCAUAUUACAAAUGUCACAUUCGAAGCACAAGUUGGACUCAAA
Non-coding RNA from Physcomitrium patens, 480 nucleotides. NCBI's taxonomy places the organism in Eukaryota, Viridiplantae, Streptophyta, Bryopsida, Funariales, Funariaceae. The record is from RefSeq and is a predicted model, not a curated record.